This 109-nucleotide transfer RNA is filed under the name Chelonia mydas (Green sea turtle). It matches the Rfam family "tRNA". From Rfam's summary of the family: Transfer RNA (tRNA) molecules are approximately 80 nucleotides in length. Their secondary structure includes four short double-helical elements and three loops (D, anti-codon, and T loops). The record is from Rfam by way of RNAcentral. Lineage: Eukaryota; Metazoa; Chordata; Testudines; Cheloniidae.
GUCAGGAUGGCCGAGUAGUCUAAGGCGUCAGACUCAAGGCUCUAUCUUCCCCUCUCCUGGGUAUUCUGGCCUCUGUAUAGAGGCGUGGAUUCAAAUCCCACUUCUGACA